This 2555-nucleotide long non-coding RNA is filed under the name Mus musculus (house mouse). RNAcentral describes it as "long non-coding RNA chr11:43561869-43564424". The record is from RNAcentral. Lineage: Eukaryota; Metazoa; Chordata; Mammalia; Rodentia; Muridae.
GUUCUCACUCUGUCUAUGUCUAGAACACUUUUUUUUUUAAUCCCUUGUGAUGAUGGCAGCUCAGGCCUCUAAUCCUAAGUAUUCCAGAGGCUUAGGCAGACUCAAGGUUAGCCUGUGCUACAAACAAGUGAAUUGAAGGCUAGCCUGGGCUACAAGUGAGUAAUUUAGUGAAACACUGUCUCAAAAAAAAAAAAAAAAGUAAAAGAGGGGGGCUGAGAGUGUAGCUCAGUGAUGGAGCGCUUGUUCUGAUAGCCAGGCACUUCCCUUAACUCCGCAGCCUUGACCACCACUAUCCUGGCUUCUGGCUCUGUGGCCUGUGCACUCUGGGAGGACCACACAGUGCGGGAGCAGUGUUUUCCGUGUGUCGUGCUAUAGCUCGUAUCAGAUCUCCUGCUGACUCAGUUCAUGUCCACUGUGAAUGACCAGUCCUCUGCCCACAGACCCUUGGUGGCUUUCACUUUUCUGAGGCUGCUGUGAACACUCAGGCACACGUCUCAGUGGGAGCCCUUUCCAGGUCAUGAGUUAAGGCUGCGUUGAGUCCUCUGGAGACCCUGAAGACACCAGGAGCUGACGCUCAAAAGUAACUUAGACUGCUGAGUCCUUAGCCCUGGACAGAGAGAGUGGCUUCGGUCAGAAAGCCAGAGAAGCCAGAGUGCCCUUUGUAUCAGAUCCCAUGGCCUUGGAUGUAAGGCCUAAUGGCAUUUUUUUUUUAAAAGAAAGGUGUUUCUAUUAUUUAAAAAAAUGAUUAAAAAAGAAAACUAAUGGCUGCUGAGACAGCUCUGUGGGUAAAGGUGCUUGCAACUUGAAGUCAGUGACCUGAGUCCAUAAACCUCAAACUAUAAUGUAGAUAAACUGCUCCACCAAACUGUCCUGAGCCUUCCAUGCACCCCAUGGCUUGCAUAAACAUCAUGAACAAACGUGAGUAUGCAUCUACAGUAACACUUUUAAAAAUUAUAUCUAUGCUACAGAAGUACCAACCACAAAAUGUUAAUGUCCUCCUGUACUCAGAGUUCAUGCCCACAAAGUGGAUUAUAUUCUUUCUGACUUGGUGUGUCUUCAUAACUGAAGGGAAGAGAGAAACUCAUUUCCUGGCCGGAAGACAAGCUAUAGAUUGUCAUAUCCUCUUAAACCCCAGUAAACACAAAGCCAGGCUCCCUCUCACGAGCCUUCUCCGUUCUUCCCCCUCUUUCAACCCCACGGGCUUUGUCUACACAGAUUUCUGUUGCCUUUCAUGGCCACUUCCAGGAUCCCACACCCUCCCUGGGAAAACAGUGCUCAUUGCCGAGUGGUUUCCUGCGAGCUAGAAGUCCAUCCGGCCCCUGGCUGACCACCUCAGGUCUGGAAAGCCAUGGGAGGUGGGGGUAGUGGGAUAAUGGUCCUCCUGCCUGUUAGGGUCAAGUUCUGACAGUGUGCGUGUGUGCACGUGUUCACGUGUGCAUUCGCACACAUCUGAAUUCCAUGCUCGCAUUCCAUGCUGUGCAUGCGGAGGGCUGAGGACAGUUCGUAGAAGGAUCCUUCUCCUUCCACCCUGAGCCCUGGGGAUCAAACUCAGGUCAUCUGGCUUGGCAGCAAGCGCCAUUUCAUCAGCCCCUCGUCUUAGUUUUUAACAGGUGAGACUGAGGUCUUUGAUGGCUGUCAUGUCCGGCCCCUAUCCCAUCCCCAGGAGUCCCCAGGAGAGAGAAGUGUGGGAGGUGAACCUGUGAUCUCUCUGUCUGAAUGGGGUCCUUUCUUAGAGAGGGUUUUUUAGCCCAGAGUCAGCCUGUAGCUCACCUGCACAGAGACCUAUCGACUCAGAAUAGGUCUUUAAAAUUAAAAACGCUUUAUCACUUAGAUGUGAGAGCCAAAGGAUAAAAUAACAAUCACCGUCCACUCUACUGGACAGAGGAAAGUUCUGGAAGGCUUCCAUAUCUUGCUUCAAACUGAUCUCGUGUGUUUUUUGUGGAGCUGUUCUAUGUCUGUACAGGCACACGGUCAGCUGAUCCUCAGCAGCCAAUGACUCUGCACUUAAGGCUCCCAAGUUUGACAUCCACCCCUCUGGUGCUGGGGAAUUGCACACAAGGCCUUGUGUGUGCUCGGCAAACACUCUGCUGUUGAGCUCCACUCCCAGCCCUUCAUUUAAGAAACAAAAAUUAAGCAAAAAUCAAUGCGGAAUGCUUUUAGGCGUGCACAUGGGCAGAGCAUUGGAACUGUUAAUUGCCCUUUAUGUGUAUUCCCAGCUGAGAUGGAAGGGGGCCGGACUCUGCCUUUCUUUCAUCUCUCCUGUGGUAAACAAGUAUUCUUCUGUGUAUGGGUUAGGGCUGUGUUUCCUCAAUGUUUGUGGAUUAUAUUGACGGCUCUGCUGUUUCAGUUGCCCACCCCCUGCACCCCCCAUCCCUACCCCCAAGCCUCCCAAGGCUACUGUUCUGUUUCCUAGGCUCCGGAAAGCUGUGUUGUGUCUCUUGGAGAAGGUAUAUGUAUUACCUCCCAGACAUUUCUUGUGCUUUUAUGCCCCCGAGUUCAAUGUUAAAGAAUCAUCAACACGUCCUGUUAAAUGGAAAUAAACAAUACAAAGUUAU